CCACUCUGAAGCGCAGGACGCGCUCAGGAUCAGGAAGAUCGACCAUCGCCAGGACGGCAAUCGAAGGGAAUUCGGAAAGGUCAGAAAAAACCCGCUUCGGCGGGUUUUUG
Non-coding RNA from Pseudomonas sp. BRH_c35, 110 nucleotides. The record is from Rfam. Lineage: Bacteria; Pseudomonadati; Pseudomonadota; Gammaproteobacteria; Pseudomonadales; Pseudomonadaceae.